AAUAGAUACCCGGGUAGUCCACGCCGUAAACGAUGAGUGCUAAGUGUUAGAGGGUUUCCGCCCUUUAGUGCUGCAGCAAACGCAUUAAGCACUCCGCCUGGGGAGUACGGCCGCAAGGCUGAAACUCAAAGGAAUUGACGGGGGACCCGCACAAGCGGUGGAGCAUGUGGUUUAAUUCGAAGCAACGCGAAGAACCUUACCAGGUCUUGACAUCCUCUGACAAUCCUAGAGAUAGGACGUUCCCCUUCGGGGGACAGAGUGACAGGUGGUGCAUGGUUGUCGUCAGCUCGUGUCGUGAGAUGUUGGGUUAAGUCCCGCAACGAGCGCAACCCUUGUCCUUAGUUGCCAGCAUUCAGUUGGGCACUCUAAGGAGACUGCCGGUGACAAACCGGAGGAAGGUGGGGAUGACGUCAAAUCAUCAUGCCCCUUAUGACCUGGGCUACACACGUGCUACAAUGGAUGGUACAAAGGGCUGCAAAACCGCGAGGUUAAGCGAAUCCCAUAAAACCAUUCUCAGUUCGGAUUGCAGGCUG
This 533-nucleotide ribosomal RNA is filed under the name uncultured bacterium. RNAcentral describes it as "bacterial SSU rRNA". It matches the Rfam family "Bacterial small subunit ribosomal RNA", at positions 777 to 1307 of the family's 1533-position model. The record is from RNAcentral.